GAAUAAUCCUGUAAAGGUUGAAUUCUGUUUUUACUAGAUGUUAUCCCUACUCUUAGGUAGGGUAGAGAGGAAACUUUUGUUCAAAUUAAUUUUUCACAUUUUCAAGAUUAUAGGGUGGUAGAGUUAACAUGUACUUAAUUGUUGAGUAAAUGAAGCAUGAGUGGUAAAAAACAGCCAUUGCUAUCCAUGAGGCGCCCCCACCUCCAGCCUCUCCACACCCUACUCUCCCCCACAGAUCUAAUGUUGAUAGCCUCAAAUUGACUGCUGAGAGAGAAAAUCCAGACUGGGAAUUUAGGGUGAAAUUGACUUUUAACUGAAGAAAAUGUCAGAGUGAAGUGACCAGAUUCAACUACAUUCCAUGUAGGUAACUACACAGAGAGAGAAAUGUUGUGCAUUGGAAAUAAAAGACAAUUUGACCUACCCACAGCUUGUUUUUCAAGAAGUAGGUACAUAUUUUUACUUUUCAGUUUGUU
RNAcentral lists this long non-coding RNA (473 nucleotides) under Bos taurus (domestic cattle). Its description in RNAcentral is "long non-coding RNA NONBTAT015700". Lineage: Eukaryota; Metazoa; Chordata; Mammalia; Artiodactyla; Bovidae. The record is from RNAcentral.